GUAAGUAUACUGUAUUGUACAUGACUUAAUUACUAUCAAUAUUAUUUGUAAGUUUUUUUGUGAAACUGACUGCUGAAUUGUUUUUCCAUGCUUAUGGUACAUCUAAGUCGUAUGCUUUUUUUAAAACCACCUCCAGGGUAUAAUGUCUGCUGGCCCAUAAAAUCUGUUUGUAGAUAUAGGAAGAUGUGGUAUGAGUGCCAAUGAGACAACUCUCCAUCCAAGUCACAAUUUAUAAAAGUACACCAUUAUAGGUCAAGGUACGGUCUUCAACACAGAGCCUAGUUUUUAUCGAAAAUGAUAGUAUAUAGGUUAAAUAAUUUAUUCAUACAUUUUUAAUUGACUGACCUAGAAUUAUCAUGAUAUUGAGGAAUUUAAACCAUUCCUAUUUUUAAAAAGGGACAAAAUUAAAAUUUAUAUAUAAUAACAGGGUGAUACAAAUGAGAAAAACUCAAGAAAUUGUUUUCAAUUAAGAUAAAUACAUGCAGUUAAUAAUGGUUUUCAGUUGUUUUUUAAAGCAGAGGCAGAUUUAGUUUAAAGUUGGAAAAAAUUGUUUGUACCAACAAAAAUAAAUACACGAAGUUAAUCCAGAAUUUAUAUGUGUUUAUAAUUUUUUUUUAUGUUUAGGUUGUCAGCCAGAUGAAAAGAACAAUGCAGUUCAAAAGUCAAAAUGUGGAUAAGCUGCGGUACAAGGUCCUACUUUUGCAGAUUUUCAUAUUUUGCAUGAAUGAAUUUGAAGUUUAUAUCAUGGAGGGCAGAGAAUUUUCCUGCUUCUGAAGGAUAAAUGUAAAACAUCUUGUUCGAAGGAUUGAAAUUCAUCACUUAGAAUAAAAGGAGAAAACACAGAAACAAGACCAAAAUAAAUUCAAAGACAAAAGUCAGAUCAGUUAUUAUUUUCAUCACUCAGUCAAUGAAUUGAAGUUCUAUUAGAUAUCUAAAGAUAUUAAAACCACAAUAAUGACAAUGUUCUGUGCUGAUGGCCAAAAAGUGGACUAUACAUUACGAUCACACAAUGCUGGAUGAUAAGAAACUAUUAAUUUUUUGGGUGGAGGGAUAUCCAAAAAAAAAUUAGAUUUAUGUAAAAAGCUACUAGUAUGUUAAGCCUAUUAAUAGCGUUUUCAUUGAUUUCAAAUGGGAAAAAAUUGUGUUGUGUUUGUUUCAAAAAAGUAUUCUAGAAUUCAUAAAUAAACAUAUAUUGAUACUUA
Long non-coding RNA from Mytilus californianus (California mussel), 1202 nucleotides. RefSeq lists it as uncharacterized. The transcript is spliced from 2 exons. The record is from RefSeq and is a predicted model, not a curated record. NCBI's taxonomy places the organism in Eukaryota, Metazoa, Mollusca, Bivalvia, Mytilida, Mytilidae.